AGAUUCAUCCUGGUUUGAUUGGAACGACGAAGAAACUGUGCUAUUCCCAAACUGGGAAACUGGAAUCACCUGCUUUGAAAGUGGGAUAACUUCUUCAUCCCAACUCCUAUGAGAUUUAUUCAACUUCCUGGUGAUUCUACACCACCUUAUGUAUCCAAAUCAAGCUUCUCACAAAGUGAUUCAUCCUGGUUUGAUUGGAACGACGAAGAAGCUGUGCUAUUCCCAAACUAGGAACCUGGAAUCACCUGAUUUGAAAGUGGGAUAACUUCUUCUUGCCAACUCCUAUGAGAUUUAUUCAACUUCCUGGUGAUUCUCCACCACUUUAUGUAUCCAAAUAAAGCUUCUCACAAAGUGAGUCAUCCUGGUUUGAUUGGAACGACGAAGAAGCUGUCCAAUUCCCAAACUGGGAAACUGGAAUCACGUGAUUUGAAAGUGCGAUAACUUCUUCAUCUCAACUCCUAUGAGAUUUAUUCAACUUCCUGGUCAUUCUCCACCACUUUAUGUAUCCAAACCAAGCUUCUCACAAAGUGAUUCAUCCUGGUUUGAUUGGAACGACGAAGAAGCUGUGCAAUUCCCAAACUGGGAAACUGGAAUCACCUGAUUUGAAAGUGGGAUAACUUCUUCAUCCCAACUCCUAUGAGAUUUAUUCAACUUCCUGGUCAUUCUCCACCACUUUAUGUAUCCAAAUCAAGCUUCUCACAAAGAGAUUCAUCCUGGUUUGAUUGGAACGACGAUGAAGCUAUCCUAUUCCCAAACUGGGAAACUGGAAUCACCUGAUUUGAAAGUGGGAUAACUUCUUCUUGCCAACUCCUAUGAGAUUUAUUCAACUUCCUGGUGAUUUUCCACCACUUUAUGUAUCCAUAUCAAGCUUCUCACAAAGUGAUUCAUCCUGGUUUUAUUGGAACGACGAUGAAGCUGUGCUAUUCCCAAACUUGGAAACUGGAAUCACCUGAUUUGUAUUAGAUUUGGUGAUUUAAAGAGUGAUUAAGUCUAAUCUGAGAAUUAAAGAGAUUGGAGAUUAAGAACAAGAGAGAGACUUAAGAGAGAGAGACUCAAAACUCCAUUAAUUAAUACUGAUGAGGGUUUACAAGUAUAUAAAGAGAGAGCAACAAGGAAUUUCGAAAUGUAUAAGCAUGUGUAGUCAAAGGACAGGCUGGAACUCCUUUUGAAUCACUUGGCUGUGCUUUCUCACAUGCUUGCACUAGUAGAAAAGCAUCCUAUCCUUUCCAGCAUCAUACAGGCUGUCAAAGUGCUCCCUUAUCCUUCCUUAUCCUCUUUGGUCGAGUUUACUCUCUUCCCUUCACUAAGUUACCUUCUCAUGCCAUCAGAUAACUUCCCAAGUUGUUACUGUGGUUAAACUAAAGUUACCACAGUAAAACUCAAAAGUUACUGUCUACUCCAACUCUCUUCCUCUCUCAAUAUAUCAACUCUUUAUUCUCUCAUCUCAACACUCCCCCUCAAGCUUGACCAUGUGGAACAAGUCAAGCUUGGUAGGACCAUGAGAUCUCCCUCAUUAAAACCUCAUUAAAGAAAACCCAUUGGGACAAAACCUUAAUGAGGAAAAAGAGUAGAGAUCACAUGAUCAGGAGAGUGUAUAGACUAGCCCUUAGGCGAGAGAUCAAUGAGUCCUAACCUGAUGUGUAUGGACUCCAUUGUCUUUUGCCUUGCUGCCUUUGUGAACACAUCUGCUAACUGAUCCUCACUCCGAGUAUAACAAGGUAGAAUCACCCCAAGAAUCAUCAUCUGCCUCACCUUGUGACAAUCAACCUCAAUGUGCUUUGUUCUCUCAUGGAACACAGAGUUAGAUGCAAUGUGGAUAGCUGCUUGAUUAUCACAAUGCAUUGUCAUUGGCGUUGCUUGAAUAAUCUCCAGAUGCUUCAAAAUCCCUUUUAUCCACACUAGCUCAUUUGUAAGCUUCAGCAUUGCUCUAUACUCGGCCUCAGCACUGGAACAAGACACUACCUUCUGCUUCUUACUCUUCCAAGUGACCAAGUUACCACCAAUGAAUGUACAAUAGCCUGUGGUUGAUCUUCUAUCUGCUCUAUCACCAGCCCAAUCCGCAUCACAGUAGCCUACAACCUCAGUACUCUUGUUACAUCCCAUCCAUACUCCAAGACCAGUAGUUCCAUUCAGAUACAUCAAGAUCCUUUCCACCAUCCGCCAGUGGUGCUCCUUAGGAACUUGCAUGUGUUGACUGACUUGAUUCACCGCAAAGCAUACAUCAGGUCUAGUAAUGGUAAGAUAAAUCAACUUCCCCACUAGCUUCCUAUACAGCUUAGGAUCAUGGAAUGGCUUGCUAUCCUCAAUCUCCCCCUCACGUGGAACCUUGUACCCAUCCUCCAUUGGCAUCUUGGCUGUCUUUCCUCCAUAGGCAUCUGCUCCCUUCAAUAGAUCAAUCACAUACUUCCUUUGAGACAUGAACAAUCCUUCCUUUGAUCUGCAUAUCUCAAUCCCAAGAAAAUACUUCAUUUCCCCCAAGUCUUUAAUCUCAAAGCUUGCCUUGAGAUACUCCUUUGUAGCCUUGAUGCCUUCCUUAUCACUGCCUGUGAUGAUGAUAUCAUCCACAUACACAAGCAAUACCACAAUACCAGAUGAGGUGGUUAGGGUAAAGAGAGUGUGAUCCAAUUCUGACUUUCUGAACCCUCUCCCAUUCAGUGUAGUACUCAACUUGUUGUACCACGCCCUUGGAGACUGCUUGAGACCAUAGAUAGCUUUCCUCAACCUCAACACAUUACCCUUCUUUACUAGAUGUUCAAGACCUGGUGGUGGAUGCAUGUAUACUUCAUCUUCCAACUCUCCUUGAAGGAAUGCAUUCUUCACAUCCAUUUGCCACAAAUCCCACUCAAGAUUCACAGCUAAAGAUAAUACAAUCCUGAUAGUAUGAAGUUUAGCCACAGGAGCAAAGGUCUCAACAUAGUCCUCACCAUAUGUCUGAGUAAAUCCUCUUGCCACCAACCUAGACUUGCGCCUCUCUAUUCUUCCAUCAGGAUGAAACUUGAUUGUGAACACCCAUUUACUAGUCACUGCCUUCUUCCCUUUAGGCAGCUCACUCUCAUACCAUGUUUCAUUCUUAAUCAUGGCUCCGGACUCAUCAGCAACUGAAUCUCUCCACUCCUUUAAAGCCAUAGCUUCUUCAUAUGUCCUUGGAAUAUAGCUCUCAUCCAAGCUUACUGUGAAGGCUAUAUGCUCGUCUGGAAACUCUGCAAAGGAACACAUAGCUUGAGAAGGAUGCUCCACAGCCUGGGCAUUGUAGUACACUCUCGUGUUUACCCAGUUGGAAGCAUCUCUCUUCACCCUUGUGCUCCUCCUCAGCUCCUGAACUUGUUCUUCUUGUGGCUCUUGCCCAUCUUCACUUGAUUGAGCACCACUCUCAUUUGACCCAUCAGGAUCCACUUCCCAAUCUCCACUAGACUGACUACCACUCUCAUCUGAGCCAGUAGACUCUCUUUGCCCAUCUCCACUAGACUGAGCACCACUCUCUACUUCCUGUGUCACCUCUUGAUUAUGCUGGCCUGAAUCUUCUUGAUUUUGCACUUGCUCAUGAGAUUCAGUUCCAUUCCCCCUCUCAUGAUCAAGAGGGGUUGUUCUUUCAGCUUCACUAGUAGGAUUGGAAGACUCUCUUCUUCCAGAUUCCUGAUCCUGGGAUAACCCUAUCCCUAGCUUCUCCAACAGCACCCUCAGUGUUGUUGCUCUAUCAGAUGGAGCUUGAGACAAAUCCUUCAGAUUUUCCCACUCCUUUUCUUCAUAAUACCCUUUGGAUUCAAUAAACUUCACUUCUCUAGAUACCAUCACUCUCCUUGCUUCAGGAUCAUAGACUUGUAUCCCUUUUGAGUGAUAGAGUAUCCAAUAAACAUUGCCUUAGUACUCUUUGCCUCCAGCUUGUUUCUCUGUUCUCCUGGAGUCAUGACAUAGCAUACACACCCAAAUACUCGUAGGUGAUCAAUAAAAGGCUUGCUCUUAUUCAGCACCUCAAAUGGAGACAGAUUCUUCAGUAUCUUGGUUGGGACCCGGUUGAUGAGGUAGCAAGCAGUCUGAACAGCAUCUCCCCAAAAUCUUUUUGGGACAUUUGCAUGAAACAUCAUCGACCUAGCAACCUCCAUCAAGUGCCUAUUCUUCCUCUCAGCUACACCAUUCUGCUGUGGUGUGUAAGGACAACUGGUCUGAUGCACAAUCCCAUGCUUGGCUAGAUGACUCUUGAAGGCAUUGCUGAUGUAUUCACCUCCGUUGUCUGAUCUCAGUACCUUCACAGUAGCAUUGUAUUGAUUAGAUACAUAUGCUUGGAAGUUCAUAAACGCUUCUAGCACCUUAUCUUUAGAUGGAAGCAAUGUGAGCCAUGUAUACUUAGACUUCUCAUCAAUGAAUGUCACAAAGUAUUUAUGGCUGUCUCUAGACAUGCAUGGAGCGGUCCACACAUCCGAGUGAACUAGAUCAAAGCAAUGCUCAUAAGUAGUCUUAGAUGUUGGGAAAACAGUCCUACAAUGCUUUCCUAAUAUGCAUGCUUCACAAUCCAAGUGAUUGAAUGACAUAUUAGGGAUUAUCAAUUCAAUGGCACGAGCAUGAGGAUGUCCUAAUCUAGCAUGCCAAGUAAUAUUAUCAAUCUUCUCAGCAGUACUACUCAAGCAAAUAGAAUCAAAGGGAUUAGAGGUCUUAGCCAAGUCGAGGUGGUAUAGCUGAUUUUUGCUGUCUCCUCUGCCAAUGACUCUCCCAGUCUUCAAAUCUUGAAACUCAACUUCAUCAGGUCUGAAUACUACUUGACAAUCAAGAUCAAUGGUAGCUUUCUUCACAGAUAAUAGAUUUGAAGUGAACUGAGGCAUGUAGAAGGCAGCCGUGUCCUUCUCAAACAGUUUGAGCUUUCCCACUCCUUCUAUUGGGAUCAUAGCACCAUUAGCUAUCCUAACACUCCCUGUUGCAGCCUUGAUCUCACUUAUAAGCCUCCUAUCACUGAUCAUAUGAUGACUUGCUCCAGAAUCAAUCACCAUGGGUUUAGAAGCUCCGGAUUGUAUAGCAUGCUUCUUGCUUGCUGCUAAGGCUUGUACAUGUUCCAUGAACACUCUCCAUUCCUUCCUGGUGAUGCGAUCAUCAGCUCCACUCCCUUUCUCCUGCUCUCUUAACACCCCACUGUCUUCUACUGAUUCCCCCAUGUAGGCUGAGUAAGAACACUCUCCCACAACUCUCUUUCUACCCUUUCCUAUGUUGAUAGAAGCUUUGGAUAGCAUUCUGCACCUUCUCUUCUUCCGGAAGCCCUCACUCCUACUCCCGGUUAGCCUCCAUGAGCCCUCACUCCUACUCAUGGUUAGCUUCUGGAAGCUCUCACUCCUACUCCCAGUUGGCUUCCAUGAGCUCUCACUCCUACUCAUGGUUAGCCUCUCAUCAUCUCUCAUUAUCUCAUACGCCCUUCUUAUAAGCCCACAAAUCUCUUCCAUUUCCGGAAGCUGUUCCCCUCUUAGAACCAUCUCUACCAGCCACCCAUAUGAUGACUCCAUGCUCGCCAAGAGCUUCAAGACCGUCUCUUGCUCUUGUGUAGUAUCCCCAUCCACAUGGGAUCUCAACCCUUGUAGUUCAACCCACAAAUGUUGUAGCUUCCUCACAUGGUUAUUGAACUCUUCUCUUCCUGGUUUACCUCCACUAAUCACCUUCUUGACUUCAUACACUCUCCUAAGACUGAUCUUGUUCUCAUAAACAUCUUCAAUCUUCUCAAGCAGUGUACUUUCUUCAAGACUAAAGCAAUUUCCACUUGUUUCUCUUGCUGUCUGAUCUUUCUCAGCAGCUUUACCCUUCAAAGACUCUUCCUUCUCAUGGUUUCUCCAAACUCCACACCUCUUCAGAGUCGUUUUCAUUUGUGAGAACCACCCCCACUCAUUCCCUCUCUCUUCCAUCUCUUCACGCCUUGCUGAACCACAAGCUAGACCCAUCUUCUGACCUUGUCAAACACCUAAAGGGACUCCCUUGAAGCUGACUCUCCAAAAGAAACACCAACAGACACAAACUUGACUUUUAAAGGAUCUAGCUCUUGAAAAAUCUCAAGAACUCUCAAGAACACUCAAGAACACUCAAGAACAUUUAGAAAAACGAAAUCACUCUCUCCUUUUAAAGUAACCUGGCUCUGAUACCAUAUUAGAUUUGGUGAUUUAAAGAGUGAUUAAGUCUAAUCUGAGAAUUAAAGAGAUUGGAGAUUAAGAACAAGAGAGAGACUUAAGAGAGAGAGACUCAAAACUCCAUUAAUUAAUACUGAUGAGGGUUUACAAGUAUAUAAAGAGAGAGCAACAAGGAAUUUCGAAAUGUAUAAGCAUGUGUAGUCAAAGGACAGGCUGGAACUUCUUUUGAAUCACUUGGCUGUGCUUUCUCACAUGCUUGCACUAGUAGAAAAGCAUCCUCUCCUUUCCAGCAUCAUACAGGCUGUCAAAGUGCUCCCUUAUCCUUCCUUAUCCUCUUUGGUCGAGUUUACUCUCUUCCCUUCACUAAGUUACCUUCUCAUGCCAUCAGAUAACUUCCCAAGUUGUUACUGUGGUUAAACUAAAGUUACCACAGUAAAACUC
Molecule: long non-coding RNA, 6536 nt
Filed under: Brassica napus (rape)
Lineage: Eukaryota; Viridiplantae; Streptophyta; Magnoliopsida; Brassicales; Brassicaceae
Description: long non-coding RNA (BNAP_LNC007864)
Source: RNAcentral